RNAcentral lists this ribosomal RNA (1487 nucleotides) under Staphylococcus aureus. RNAcentral describes it as "bacterial SSU rRNA". It matches the Rfam family "Bacterial small subunit ribosomal RNA". Lineage: Bacteria; Bacillati; Bacillota; Bacilli; Caryophanales; Staphylococcaceae. The record is from RNAcentral.
UUUUAUGGAGAGUUUGAUCCUGGCUCAGGAUGAACGCUGGCGGCGUGCCUAAUACAUGCAAGUCGAGCGAACGGACGAGAAGCUUGCUUCUCUGAUGUUAGCGGCGGACGGGUGAGUAACACGUGGAUAACCUACCUAUAAGACUGGGAUAACUUCGGGAAACCGGAGCUAAUACCGGAUAAUAUUUUGAACCGCAUGGUUCAAAAGUGAAAGACGGUCUUGCUGUCACUUAUAGAUGGAUCCGCGCUGCAUUAGCUAGUUGGUAAGGUAACGGCUUACCAAGGCAACGAUGCAUAGCCGACCUGAGAGGGUGAUCGGCCACACUGGAACUGAGACACGGUCCAGACUCCUACGGGAGGCAGCAGUAGGGAAUCUUCCGCAAUGGGCGAAAGCCUGACGGAGCAACGCCGCGUGAGUGAUGAAGGUCUUCGGAUCGUAAAACUCUGUUAUUAGGGAAGAACAUAUGUGUAAGUAACUGUGCACAUCUUGACGGUACCUAAUCAGAAAGCCACGGCUAACUACGUGCCAGCAGCCGCGGUAAUACGUAGGUGGCAAGCGUUAUCCGGAAUUAUUGGGCGUAAAGCGCGCGUAGGCGGUUUUUUAAGUCUGAUGUGAAAGCCCACGGCUCAACCGUGGAGGGUCAUUGGAAACUGGAAAACUUGAGUGCAGAAGAGGAAAGUGGAAUUCCAUGUGUAGCGGUGAAAUGCGCAGAGAUAUGGAGGAACACCAGUGGCGAAGGCGACUUUCUGGUCUGUAACUGACGCUGAUGUGCGAAAGCGUGGGGAUCAAACAGGAUUAGAUACCCUGGUAGUCCACGCCGUAAACGAUGAGUGCUAAGUGUUAGGGGGUUUCCGCCCCUUAGUGCUGCAGCUAACGCAUUAAGCACUCCGCCUGGGGAGUACGACCGCAAGGUUGAAACUCAAAGGAAUUGACGGGGACCCGCACAAGCGGUGGAGCAUGUGGUUUAAUUCGAAGCAACGCGAAGAACCUUACCAAAUCUUGACAUCCUUUGACAACUCUAGAGAUAGAGCUUUCCCCUUCGGGGGACAAAGUGACAGGUGGUGCAUGGUUGUCGUCAGCUCGUGUCGUGAGAUGUUGGGUUAAGUCCCGCAACGAGCGCAACCCUUAAGCUUAGUUGCCAUCAUUAAGUUGGGCACUCUAAGUUGACUGCCGGUGACAAACCGGAGGAAGGUGGGGAUGACGUCAAAUCAUCAUGCCCCUUAUGAUUUGGGCUACACACGUGCUACAAUGGACAAUACAAAGGGCAGCGAAACCGCGAGGUCAAGCAAAUCCCAUAAAGUUGUUCUCAGUUCGGAUUGUAGUCUGCAACUCGACUAUAUGAAGCUGGAAUCGCUAGUAAUCGUAGAUCAGCAUGCUACGGUGAAUACGUUCCCGGGUCUUGUACACACCGCCCGUCACACCACGAGAGUUUGUAACACCCGAAGCCGGUGGAGUAACCUUUUAGGAGCUAGCCGUCGAAGGUGGGA